Molecule: long non-coding RNA, 2062 nt
Filed under: Sus scrofa (pig)
Lineage: Eukaryota; Metazoa; Chordata; Mammalia; Artiodactyla; Suidae
Description: lncRNA (ENSSSCG00065070603.1)
Source: RNAcentral
GGCGUCCUGCCAGCGGGGCGCCCCCGGCCUGAGACUCCCUGGAAGCCUCGUCCGCGAGUCGCGGACUCGGGGCCCGGAGGGCGGCGGGAGGUCCUGCGCUGCGGUGCGGCUAUAGCGCCCGCGCUCCCCGCGGAAGAACCGCCGAGUCGAGCGCUGAAGGUGUGGCCCACCAGCAGGAGUGUCAGAACGUGCCGAGCCGCUCGAGUCGGAGUCGCCAGAACCCCCGGAAGACGAGCCGUUCACCGGCAGGCCAACUGGGGCUUCUUCGUGUAGUGGACUGACAGCCAAGCGUCGGGAACGCAGUGUCGUGGGUGUGCGGCUGACCGGGUGAGGAGGAUCUUUCACAGAGACCGUGCCCCUCCGUGGAGUCCAGGAACAGGGCCUCAAACCUGCGUCCUCAUGGAUACUAGUCAAAUUUGUUUCCCCUGAGCCAGGACAGGAACUCCCUUCAAGGAUAUUUGUUUGUUUGAUUCUUUCUGCUUUUUUGUUUUUUCUAGGGCCACACCCACAGCGUGUGGAGGUUCGCAAGCUAGGGGUCCAGUCGGAGCUGUCGCCGCCAGCCUAUACCACAGCCACAGCCACGCAGGAUCUGAGCUGCAUCUGCACCCUACACCACAGCUCGCAGCAACACUGGAUCCCCAACCCACUGAACCAGGCCAGGGAUCGAAUUGCAACCUCAUGGUUCCUAGUCAGGUUCAUUAACCACUGAGCCAUGACAGGAACUCUGCUUCAAGGAUAUUUGGAAGCAUCUAUAUUUAUGGCCCAUCUCAGAAUGCAAAAGGUUUUUAAAAAUGUAAACCUCUUUGCCUUUUGGAGUGUAAAUAUUUGGGGGCUUAAGAGUCUGAUGCAUCUGUGUGCGACAGAGCUGGUCUCAGCAGGCACCUCACUGGGCUCUCAUGAGGGGAUUUCUUUCACGGAACCGUCUUUGGUAUGUAGCAGGUGUUCGUAGGUGUUAGUCAUUGCCGUUACUGUCUGUAUCACUGCCAUCAUCAAAGCCUGACAAGGCAAGGCUUCCAGGCCUCGCACUGCCAUGAAAGAGUUGGGCGGAGCAAGGCCUGUGCGUUGGGUCUCUGAGCCUCACUUCCUGAGUGGGCAACAUGAAAAUUGAUGCCCGCUUCAAGGGUUGCUGUGACCGUUACACCAGUGUGGAUGGGAAAGCAGUUGUUUCAAGAAGCAUCAAAGGUUAAUAACACCUGGAACGUUUUCCAGAAGAAAGUUAAAUACAGGAUGGCCUGAUGCGUUCCCCACAGGGUGUACUCUUUGCUUCCGUUUCAUUCGUGUUCAACAAGAUGCGCGUUCAGGCCAUGCUCCAUUUCUGCAGCAAAAAAGGCACUUUGCAGCUAUAUUCUUUGCACGUGAUGCUGAGUAGUAUUUCAGAGCCAGGCCUUAGAAACUUCAAGGCCUGGGAGUUCCUUCGUGGCUCUGGUUAACGAACCCGACUAGGAUCCGUGAGGACUCAGGUUUGAUCCCUGGCCUUGCUCAGUGGGUUAAGGAUCUGGCAUUGCUAUGAGCUGUGGUGUAGGUCACAGACAUGGCUUGGAUCCCAUCAUUUUGCUGUGGCUGUGGCAUAGGGUGGCAGCUGCAGCUCCAAUUUGACCCCUAUCUUGGGAACUUCCAUAUGCCUCUGGUAUGGCCCUAAAAAGACCAAAAAAAAAUUAGCAAAGGAGUUCCUGCUGCAGUGCAAUGAGAUUUAAGUGUCUGUAGCACCAGGACACAGGUUCAACUCCCUGCCCCUCAGAGAGGGCUAAAGGAUCCAGCAUUACCGAAGCUUCAGCGUAGGUCAGCUUCAGCUGUGUCUCAGAUCUGAUCCAUGGCCCGGGAGCUUCAUGCGCUGCAAAGUGGCCAAAAAAUUUAAAAAGGAAAAAGUUCUUGUCGUGUCUCAGCAGUAACAAACCUGAUUAGUCAUGAGGAUGUGGGUUCAAUCCCUGGCCCGGCUCAGUGGGUUAACAUUCUGCUGUUGCCAUGGGCUGUGGUGUAGGUUGCAUAUGUGGUUUGGAUUUGAUCUCUAGUCUGGGAACUUCCAUAGCCCUCCAAAAAAAAAAAAAAAAAACCAAAAAAAAAA